AAAUAAAAAAGAAAUACCACAAGCUUAUAGAAAAGGCAACUAACGCAAUAGAAAACUGGAAGAUGACAGAUGACUGUGCUGGGUCAAACAGCUGCAGGGGGUCAUGGGACCUGGGGGGCUUUAAGGAUUAAGGGUUGGGAUAGCACAUGGCACAAACUUCUCUAAAACUUUCUCUUUGUCCAUUAAAUUGUCAAAAGUUUAAUGCAAAAUUACUUUUGUGCAGGUAGGCUUCAGUUCAAACAUUGAAAUGUUUUAAUAGCCGAGUUACAUUUGAUGAUUAGGCUGAAAAAUAUGAACAAGAACCAAGUAAAACAAAGCUAGAACUAAUUAUGAAGGGAAGCAGCAUUCUGUAGAAAGCCAUAGCUAAUUUAAUGCUCAGCACAUAUUAAACUUGUUUUUCCAUUGUGCUUUAACCAGAACCAGAAGGGACCUGCUGGUUGGUGGAGCUCCAGAAUACUUUUAAUUUUCUCACCAGGAAUCUGCAUUCUUGUGUUUUUUUUUCUUUUUCUGUCAUCAGGAAUAAAGUGUCCCUUAGUGGCUAACAGAAAAGCUAUUCACACAGCAUUUCUUUUAAAAAAAUUUUGCAUGGACUGUGUAAGA
Poecilia latipinna (sailfin molly) is the source of this 600-nucleotide long non-coding RNA. RefSeq lists it as uncharacterized. The transcript is spliced from 3 exons. The record is from RefSeq and is a predicted model, not a curated record. NCBI's taxonomy places the organism in Eukaryota, Metazoa, Chordata, Actinopteri, Cyprinodontiformes, Poeciliidae.